RNAcentral lists this ribosomal RNA (240 nucleotides) under uncultured bacterium. RNAcentral describes it as "partial 16S ribosomal RNA". It matches the Rfam family "Bacterial small subunit ribosomal RNA", at positions 523 to 762 of the family's 1533-position model. The record is from RNAcentral.
AUACGUAGGGGGCAAGCGUUGUCCGGAAUAAUUGGGCGUAAAGGGCGCGUAGGCGGCUCGGUAAGUCUGGAGUGAAAGUCCUGCUUUUAAGGUGGGAAUUGCUUUGGAUACUGUCGGGCUUGAGUGCAGGAGAGGUUAGUGGAAUUCCCAGUGUAGCGGUGAAAUGCGUAGAGAUUGGGAGGAACACCAGUGGCGAAGGCGACUAACUGGACUGUAACUGACGCUGAGGCGCGAAAGUGU